This 301-nucleotide ribosomal RNA is filed under the name uncultured bacterium. Its description in RNAcentral is "partial 16S ribosomal RNA". It matches the Rfam family "Bacterial small subunit ribosomal RNA", at positions 509 to 807 of the family's 1533-position model. The record is from RNAcentral.
CAGUCGCCGCGGUAAUACGGAGGGGGCUAGCGUUGUUCGGAAUUACUGGGCGUAAAGCGCACGUAGGCGGCUUGGUAAGUUAGAGGUGAAAGCCCGGAGCUCAACUCCGGAAUUGCCUUUAAGACUGCCGAGCUAGUAGGUGAGAGAGGUAAGUGGAAUUCCGAGCGUAGAAGUGAAAUUCGUAGAUAUUCGGAAGAACACCAGUGGCGAAGGCGGCUUACUGGCUCAUUCUAGACGCUGAGGUGCGAAAGCGUGGGGAGCAAACAGGAUUAGAUACCCCCGUAGUCCCUGUCUCUUAUAC